Molecule: ribosomal RNA, 210 nt
Filed under: uncultured bacterium
Lineage: Bacteria
Description: partial 16S ribosomal RNA
Rfam family: Bacterial small subunit ribosomal RNA
Source: RNAcentral
UACGAAGGGGCGAGCGUUGUUCGGAAUUACUGGGCGUAAAGGGCGCGUAGGCGGCGCGGAUAGUCGGCGGUGAAAGCCCGGAGCUCAACUCCGGGUCGGCCGUCGAUACUUCCGGGCUUGAGCACUGUAGGAAGGCAGAUGGAAUUCCGGGUGUAGCGGAUGGAAUGCGUAGGAGAUCCGGAAGAACACCGGUGGCGAAGGCGGUCGUGC